CCUUGCACUACCCCAUAAGAACGGACUGUAACAGUGAAGUAAAGCCAUAAGAGGGGAGAGGAAUAUCAUCUACAUCUAUACAGACCAUUGCAUUGCAUGUUGCAAGCAUUUAGCUCAACAAGUGCAAGAAGUUGCUGGGGAGAAGGAGAAAGAUGGCAAGAGUUGGUGAAAUUCUAGAGACCAUGUUUGGCUCACUUAUGAUUAUACUGCUGAUUGUCAUGGCCAUGGGAGCAAUCAAAGUUAAAGCGCAGCUUCUUCCUCAAAAUGAAGUCGAAGCUCUACAAGAAGUAGCAACCCAAUUAGGCAAGCAAGACUGGAACUUCAAAGUAGAUCCUUGCAGUAAUGAC
This 347-nucleotide unclassified non-coding RNA is filed under the name Hevea brasiliensis (rubber tree). Lineage: Eukaryota; Viridiplantae; Streptophyta; Magnoliopsida; Malpighiales; Euphorbiaceae. The record is from RNAcentral.